This 253-nucleotide ribosomal RNA is filed under the name uncultured bacterium. RNAcentral's name for it is "partial 16S ribosomal RNA". It matches the Rfam family "Bacterial small subunit ribosomal RNA", at positions 524 to 776 of the family's 1533-position model. The record is from RNAcentral.
UACGUAGGGGGCAAGCGUUGUCCGGAAUUAUUGGGCGUAAAGAGCGUGUAGGCGGUCCGGUAAGUCAGCUGUGAAAGUCAAGGGCUCAACCCUUGAAAGCCGGUUGAUACUGUCGGGCUAGAGUCCGGAAGAGGCGAGUGGAAUUCCCGGUGUAGCGGUGAAAUGCGCAGAUAUCAGGAGGAACACCGGUGGCGAAGGCGGGUCUCUGGGCCGAUACUGACGCUGAGGAGCGAAAGCGUGGGGAGCAAACAGG